UACAGAGGGUGCUAGCGUUGUUCGGAAUCAUUGGGCGUAAAGGGCGUGUAGGCGGCUUCUUAAGUCUGGUGUGAAAUCUCCCGGCUCAACUGGGAGGGUGCGCCGGAUACUGAGGGGCUAGAGUGUGGGAGAGGAAAGUGGAAUUCCUGGUGUAGCGGUGAAAUGCGCAGAUAUCAGGAGGAACACCGAUGGCGAAGGCAGGUCUCUGGGCCAUUACUGACACUGAGAAGCGAAAGCAUGGGGGAGCGAACAGG
Molecule: ribosomal RNA, 254 nt
Filed under: uncultured bacterium
Lineage: Bacteria
Description: partial 16S ribosomal RNA
Rfam family: Bacterial small subunit ribosomal RNA
Source: RNAcentral